Long non-coding RNA from Bos taurus (domestic cattle), 955 nucleotides. NCBI's taxonomy places the organism in Eukaryota, Metazoa, Chordata, Mammalia, Artiodactyla, Bovidae. The record is from Ensembl.
GCUCCAAGCAAGCACCCAGCCCCUAGCUUUCUGGGCCCCCUGGCCCUGGGGCUGGAUUAACUCCUCACAGGCCAUUGUUCAGGGUUCAAGGAGCCGCCCGCUCCUGGCAUUCUGGUUCCACCAGGAGUCUGGGCGGACAGGCGUGGCCGGGGCCUAAUGAGCAGGGUGUGCCCCGAGGAGUUGUUAGGAACAGGGUGACAGCUGUGGGCAGGUCCCCGCCCUCAGCUUGUGGGCGGGCCGGCUUGCACAAUAGUCACCUGGGCUGGGGGUACCGCACGGCAUCCUGGCCAAAUCUCCAGCAGCUCAUGGAGUCCGGAAUGAAAUCAGUCCUCCAAGUAAUAACCAAGUGGAAGUGGACUCAAAAUGCUGAGUGUUUGUGUGUCUUCGGGGGACUGUUUCUCUGUUUUCCAAAGCAGGUCUCCUGCCCGGCAGCAAAGUUCCUUUUUAUUGGAGCUUCCCAGGUAGCACUAUUGGUAAAGAACCUGCCUGCCAACACAGAAGAUGUAGGAGAUGUGGGUUCAACCCCCGGAUUGGGAAGAUGCCCUGGAGAAGGACAUGGCAACCCACUCCAAUAUUCUUGCCUGGAGAGAGGACUCUGGCUGGCUACGGUCCAUGGGAUCGCAGAGUGGGACACGACUGAAACGAUAUUGAUCUGUUGGUAUUCUGUAUAUAUUCUGGACACCAAAACUUUUUCAGAUAUAUGUUUGGUGAAUAUUUCUUUGUUAGACUGGCCUGCUGAUUUUUGUGACAAUGUCUUUUGAUUUUUAAAGAAAAUUUUGAUGAGGUCUAAUAUAUAAAUCUUCCAUUAAAAAAAUGGUUUGUGCUUUUCAUGAUCUGUUUAAUAAAACUGUCUUCUGCAAGGUCAUGAACAUUUUCUGCUCUGUUUUCUUUUGGAAGUUUUAUAGUUUUAGGUUGCCUGUUUAGGUCUAUAAUCCAUCUUAGCAUAGUUUUGGAG